This 804-nucleotide ribosomal RNA is filed under the name uncultured bacterium. RNAcentral describes it as "bacterial SSU rRNA". It matches the Rfam family "Bacterial small subunit ribosomal RNA", at positions 1 to 807 of the family's 1533-position model. The record is from RNAcentral.
GAAUUCGCCCUUAGAGUUUGAUCCUGGCUCAGGACGAACGCUGGCGGCGUGCUUAACACAUGCAAGCCGAACGGGGUUGCAGGGAUAGUUUACUAACCUUGCAAUUUAGUGGCGGACGGGUGAGUAACACGUGGGCAACCAACCUUAAAGAGGGGGAUAACAACGAGAAAUCGUUGCUGAUACCGCAUAAAGUUAGCUAAUCGCAUGAUAAGCUAAUGAAAGGAGAAAUCCGCUUUAAGACGGGCCCGCGCCUGAUUAGCUAGUUGGUGGGAUAAAAGCUCACCAAGGCGACGAUCAGUAGCCGAUCUGAGAGGAUGACCGGCCACACUGGAACUGAGACACGGUCCAGACUCCUACGGGAGGCAGCAGUGGGGAAUAUUGCACAAUGGGGGAAACCCUGAUGCAGCAACGCCGCGUGGAGGACGAAGGUUUUCGGAUUGUAAACUCCUGUCAUUUGGGAAGAUAAUGACGGUACCAAAUGAGGAAGCCACGGCUAACUACGUGCCAGCAGCCGCGGUAACACGUAGGUGGCGAGCGUUGUCCGGAAUUACUGGGCGUAAAGGGCGUGUAGGCGGCUAGUCAAGUCAGCUGUGAAACCCCGGGGCUUAACCCCGGGCUUGCAAUUGAAACUGAUUAGCUCGAGUGUCGGAGAGGAAAGCGGAAUUCCUAGUGUAGCGGUGAAAUGCGUAGAUAUUAGGAGGAACACCAGUGGCGAAGGCGGCUUUCUGGACGAUAACUGACGCUGAGGCGCGAAAGCGUGGGGAGCAAACAGGAUUAGAUACCCUGGUAGUCCACGCCAUAAAC